UGCGAAAUAUGGAUGUCCGAAAAAUGAUGAAGACCCAGGGAUCCACAAUGGAAUUGACAGAGAAAAAACGGAGGGCUGUAAGAUCGGCUGCCUCAUUUGCAUCAGGGGCAAAAGCUCCAAUGUAAGCUCGGAUCUGUAAGAGAUCUCCUUUUCCAUAACUUUAGACUCUGAAGUCUAAGCAAAGAGUGGCUCAUCUAAAAUGGCUCGAAGUGGGAUCAGAAGAGGGUUGUGUCCCCAUUAUCAGGAAGAAGGCUUGUUGUGUUCCUGCUCUCACCACCAGCCUUGUAUCCAAAGUGCUGGCUUGUUCCAAUAUCUCAG
Crotalus tigris (Tiger rattlesnake) is the source of this 318-nucleotide long non-coding RNA. RefSeq lists it as uncharacterized. NCBI's taxonomy places the organism in Eukaryota, Metazoa, Chordata, Lepidosauria, Squamata, Viperidae. The record is from RefSeq and is a predicted model, not a curated record. The transcript is spliced from 3 exons.